CAGGGUGUAGCCCAAGAGAGUCAAAGCGUCCGGCCUGAAACCGGGACGUUGCGGGUUCAAAUCCCGUCGCCCUGACCA
This 78-nucleotide transfer RNA is filed under the name Escherichia coli. RNAcentral's name for it is "tRNA-Ser". It matches the Rfam family "tRNA". From Rfam's summary of the family: Transfer RNA (tRNA) molecules are approximately 80 nucleotides in length. Their secondary structure includes four short double-helical elements and three loops (D, anti-codon, and T loops). Further hydrogen bonds mediate the characteristic L-shaped molecular structure. tRNAs have two regions of fundamental functional importance: the anti-codon, which is responsible for specific mRNA codon recognition, and the 3' end, to which the tRNAs corresponding amino acid is attached (by aminoacyl-tRNA synthetases). tRNAs cope with the degeneracy of the genetic code in two manners: having more than one tRNA (with a specific anti-codon) for a particular amino acid; and 'wobble' base-pairing, i.e. permitting non-standard base-pairing at the 3rd anti-codon position. The record is from RNAcentral. Lineage: Bacteria; Pseudomonadati; Pseudomonadota; Gammaproteobacteria; Enterobacterales; Enterobacteriaceae.